This 69-nucleotide transfer RNA is filed under the name Cavia porcellus (domestic guinea pig). It matches the Rfam family "tRNA". From Rfam's summary of the family: Transfer RNA (tRNA) molecules are approximately 80 nucleotides in length. The record is from Rfam by way of RNAcentral. Lineage: Eukaryota; Metazoa; Chordata; Mammalia; Rodentia; Caviidae.
GGAAGUGUAGUUCAAUAGUAAAACAUUUGCCUGGCAUGUAUAAGGGCCUAGGUUUGAUCCCCAGCACCA